Molecule: small RNA, 3169 nt
Filed under: Pongo abelii (Sumatran orangutan)
Lineage: Eukaryota; Metazoa; Chordata; Mammalia; Primates; Hominidae
Description: processed transcript
Source: RNAcentral
GUUUUACAACCUUUUUGCCUUUCUAGAAUUAAAUACAAUAACUUUUUUAUCCUCACAUCUACCAGUAGAAAUUUGCUUAACAAAAGUCAAGAAAGAAGACAUAUUCAGAGGCAACCAUUCAGAUGUAACUGAUUUCAUUCUUGAAGGCUUCAGGGUCCGCCCAGAGUUCUACAUUCUCCUCUUCUUCCUGUUCCUGCUGGUCUAUAGCAUGGUUCUUUUGGGGAACAUUAGUGUGAUGACAAUCAUUGUAACUGACUCCCAGCUGAACACACCAAUGUAUUUUUUUCUAGGCAACCUCUCCUUCAUUGACAUCUCCUACUCCACUGUUAUUGCUCCUAAAGCCAUGGCCAACUUCCUGUCUGAAAAAAAGACAGUCUCUUUUGCAGGUUGUGUUGCCCAGUUAUUCCUUUUUGCCCUGUUCAUUGUAACAGAGGGGUUUAUCCUGGCAGCCAUGGCCUAUGACCGCUUCAGUGCCAUCUGCAAUCCUCUUCUUUAUAGUGUUCACAUGUCAAGACGCCUCUGCACUCAGUUGGUUGCUGGUUCUUAUUUCUGUGGCUGGGUCAGUUCCAUCCUCCAAGUCAGUGUAACAUUCUCAGUUUCCUUCUGUGCUUCCAGAGUCAUUGAUCACUUCUACUGUGAUUCUCAUCAAAUUGAAAAGAUUUCCUGUUCUAAUCUCUUUGUCAAUAAGAUGGUAUCUCUGAGUUUGAGUGUCAUCAUUAUUUUGCCUACAAUUGUUGUUAUUAUAGUAUCUUACAUGUACAUUGUAUCCUCAGUCUUGAAGAUCCCCUCCAGUGAAGGGAGAAAGAAAGCCUUUUCCACUUGCAGCUCCCAUCUGGGUGUUGUAAAUUUGCUCUAUGGGACUGUUUCCUUUGUGUACCUCACACCUCCAAGCAAUCCUGAACUUCGCAAAGUGGCUUCCGUAUUUUACAUAUUGGUUACACCCAUGUUAAACCCUCUGAUCUACUCUCUAAGAAAUAAAGAUGUCAAAGAAGCUUUGAGAAAAAUCCUGUGUAACAAAAAAGCUUUAUCCUAAUUCUACUUUCUUAUGAUUUCCUCGUUAAUGGGUCCAUUGAUUCUUUCAUUUUGAUUUGCUUUUAAUAUGGAGCCAAGCUUGAGUCACUUAAGAUCCUUUAACAUUGAACAAAUAAAAGAGAUUUAAUAGGAGCAAACCUUGAUACUUUCUUCAGCAAUCCUUUCUAUCGAUUUUAUCAUAUUUGGAAAUCUGAAGUACUUAACAAUUUACAUUUAAAAGCAUAUGCUUGAAUCAGGAAAAUCAUAGCAAUGUGGAAACAAAAUACUACUUGAAAAAUAUAAAUACCCUCAUUCAUUAAAAUACAACAUCAAUACAAGAGUUAAUGGAUGCUGGGCUUCAUACUUUGGUGAUGGGAUCAUCUGAGCAGUAAACCACCAUGGCACACAUAACAAACCCACACAUCUGGCACAUGUACUGCUGAACUUAAAAGUCGAAGAAAAAUUAAAUGUGAUCAUUUUGUCUUCCAAACAUUUGUUGUAUUGAUGCUGUUUUGUUUUGUUUUGUUUUUGAGAUGGAGUCUCCCUCUGUCACCCAGGCUGGUGUGCAGUGGCGUGAUCUCGGCUCACUGUAAGCUUCGCCUCCCGGGUUCACGCCAUUCUCCUGCCUCAGCAGGAGUAUGCUGGGACUACAGGCGCCCGCCACCAUGCCCUGGCUAAUUGUUUGUAUUUUUAGUAGAGAGGGGGUUUCACCGUGUUAGCCAGGAUGGUCUUGAUCUCCUGGCCUCGUGAUCUGCCUGCCUCGGCCUCCCAAAGUGCUGGGAUUACAGUCAUGAGCCACCGCGCCCGGCCUCCAUAUAAAUGCUGUAUUUUAAUGAAUGAGGGUAUUUAUAUUAUAUGUGAAAGUAUCAAGGUUUGCUGCUAUUAUAUCUCUUUUAUUUUUUCAAUGGGAUAAAAUUGUAAUGUUGAUGGAAAGAUGUAGAAGUAAGGGGAUGUUGUAAAAAUGUCAUACUAUUUCAUGAAUGUUUGCUUACUUCCAUAAUAUUAGAAUACAUCAAUUUAGUGAAUCAAUUUUUUGAAAGAUCCCAGUGAUCAUAGGGAGUAUGAUUCAAAUUCCUUUCAAAGUUUAAAAAAGGAGAAGUAGAAUAGGGAGAGAUGGGGAAUAGUAGAACAGAAGUACCCUGGCAUGUAACAUAAUCUUAAUUUUAAAAAAAAAGGCUUCUCAGUUCUUAUGCAUUCCAAUUAGAAAGUUAGAAAAAUUUCUUAACCAAAGACCACAAUAUCUUUUAUCACAGUAAAGAUCAUUUUUAUACUAUUCCAAAUGUGGUUCUCUAUUUAAAAAAUAGAUUUUAUUCAUUUCUUACCAUUAUUUCCAAUAAGUCAAUUAAUAUUAUAUCGUCACCUUCUGUGUUUCAACUACAAACAUCUCUUUUUCAUUUGCUUUAUUGAGUGUAUUCCAGGUAGGUUUACAUGUAUGUAAAACAUUGAAAAUCACUUUGGCUAAAGUAAACAAGAGGGAUAUAUUGGGUGUGUAUGUGGAGCACACUAAAUAAAGAGAAAAACAAGGGAAAAAGUCUUGUAAUUGUUUAGGAAUUAAGGCAUCUCAACGAAUCAAGGAACAACUGCUGAAGAGUCUGCUAGCAGAAUUCAGUCUCACUGAGUGUUACAUGUGAACUCCAUGCAUUUUCAAACUUUUUUUUUCAUUUGAUGUAAAUUUGAGUUCUGAUAGAGAUCAUCAUGUAGACCCAGUUUUGGGUAGUAGCCUGCCCUUAUACUAGAGGAUGGCUAGACCCUUGAUUAUGACUUUAUCUAAUUAGAAGUCUGCAAAGCAUAAUGGCACACCUAAUAAGUGGCUAAAAUUUAAAAAACUGACAAUGUUAAAUACUGGUGAAAAUGCAGAGCAAUAGGAAUGCUCAUUCAUUGCUGUUGAGGAUGGAAAAUAGUACAGCAGACAGUGUGGCAUCUAUGCAGCCAAUUAACUGUACAAACCAGCAUUUGUGCUUCUGUGUAUUUACCUCACUGAUUUGAAAACUUAUGUUCACAUAAAAACUGCACAUGAAAUAUUUGUCUUUCUGUGUCCAGCUUGUUUCACUUAAGAUAAUAACCUCCAGUUAUUAGUUGUUGCAAAAGACAGGAUUUCAUCAUUUUUAUGGCUGCAUAGUAUUCCAUUGUAUAUAUAUAUGACAUUUUCUUUACCCAG